GCUCCUGGCUCAGGAUGAACGCUGGCGGCGUGCUUAACACAUGCAAGUCGAACGAAGCACUUUAUUUGAUUUCCUUCGGGACUGAUUAUUUUGUGACUGAGUGGCGGACGGGUGAGUAACGCGUGGGUAACCUGCCUUGUACAGGGGGAUAACAGUUGGAAACGGCUGCUAAUACUGCAUAAGCGCACGGCAUCGCAUGAUGCAGUGUGAAAAACUCCGGUGGUAUAAGAUGGACCCGCG
This 240-nucleotide ribosomal RNA is filed under the name uncultured bacterium. RNAcentral describes it as "partial 16S ribosomal RNA". It matches the Rfam family "Bacterial small subunit ribosomal RNA", at positions 15 to 235 of the family's 1533-position model. The record is from RNAcentral.